UACGGGGGGGGCAAGCGUUGUUCGGAAUUACUGGGCGUAAAGGGCUCGUAGGCGGCCAACUAAGUCGGAUGUGAAAUCCCCAGGCUUAACCUGGGAACUGCAUCCGAUACUGGAUGGCUUGAAUCCGGGAGAGGGAUGCGGAACUCCAGGUGUAGCGGUGAAAUGCGUAGAUAUCUGGAGGAACACCGGUGGCGAAGGCGGCAUCCUGGACCGGCAUUGACGCUGAGGAGCGAAAGCCAGGGGAGCAAACAGG
RNAcentral lists this ribosomal RNA (253 nucleotides) under uncultured bacterium. RNAcentral describes it as "partial 16S ribosomal RNA". It matches the Rfam family "Bacterial small subunit ribosomal RNA", at positions 524 to 776 of the family's 1533-position model. The record is from RNAcentral.